This 190-nucleotide ribosomal RNA is filed under the name Escherichia coli. RNAcentral's name for it is "partial 16S ribosomal RNA". It matches the Rfam family "Bacterial small subunit ribosomal RNA", at positions 1 to 184 of the family's 1533-position model. The record is from RNAcentral. RNAcentral also lists the same sequence under 2 other names. Lineage: Bacteria; Pseudomonadati; Pseudomonadota; Gammaproteobacteria; Enterobacterales; Enterobacteriaceae.
AAAUUGAAGAGUUUGAUCAUGGCUCAGAUUGAACGCUGGCGGCAGGCCUAACACAUGCAAGUCGAACGGUAACAGGAAACAGCUUGCUGUUUCGCUGACGAGUGGCGGACGGGUGAGUAAUGUCUGGGAAACUGCCCGAUGGAGGGGGAUAACUACUGGAAACGGUAGCUAAUACCGCAUAACGUCGCAA